This 451-nucleotide ribosomal RNA is filed under the name uncultured bacterium. RNAcentral's name for it is "partial 16S ribosomal RNA". It matches the Rfam family "Bacterial small subunit ribosomal RNA", at positions 30 to 523 of the family's 1533-position model. The record is from RNAcentral.
AUUGAACGCUGGCGGCGUGCUUAACACAUGCAAGUCGAACGAAGGCUUCGGCCUUAGUGGCGGACGGGUGAGUAACGCGUGGGAAUCUACCUUACGGCGGGGAAUAACAGCGGGAAACUGCUGCUAAUACCGCAUACGCUCUACGGAGGAAAGGCUUCGGCCACCGUUUGAGGAUCCCGCGUCCGAUUAGCUAGUUGGUGAGGUAACGGCUCACCAAGGCGACGAUCGGUAGCUGGUCUGAGAGGAUGAUCAGCCACACUGGGACUGAGACACGGCCCAGACUCCUACGGGAGGCAGCAGUGGGGAAUAUUGGACAAUGGGGGAAACCCUGAUCCAGCGACGCCGCGUGAAUGAUGAAGGCCUUAGGGUUGUAAGGUUCUUUCGUCCGUGACGAUGAUGACAGUAGCGGAAGAAGAAGCUCCGGCUAACUUCGUGCCAGCAGCCGCCGUAA